UUUUAUUUAAAUUAUUAUUUAAUUUAAAUUUUAUUUUUAAAUAAAAUAAUAAAUUUAAAUUUGAUUGGGAGGAUUAAUAAAUUUAAUAAACUUUAUUUUUAAAUAUAAUUUUGAUUAAAAGAUUUAAUAUUGAUCUAUAAUUUAUAAUUAAAAGAAUAAAUUACCUUAGGGAUAACAGCGUAAUAUCUUUUGAUAGACCUUAUUGAU
Molecule: ribosomal RNA, 207 nt
Filed under: Apis andreniformis
Lineage: Eukaryota; Metazoa; Arthropoda; Insecta; Hymenoptera; Apidae
Description: partial large subunit ribosomal RNA
Source: RNAcentral